This 850-nucleotide ribosomal RNA is filed under the name Streptococcus suis. Its description in RNAcentral is "bacterial SSU rRNA". It matches the Rfam family "Bacterial small subunit ribosomal RNA", at positions 31 to 866 of the family's 1533-position model. Lineage: Bacteria; Bacillati; Bacillota; Bacilli; Lactobacillales; Streptococcaceae. The record is from RNAcentral.
GAAAAUUUCCCCUUGCUAUACAUGCAAGUAGAACGCUGAAGUCUGGUGCUUGCACUAGACGGAUGAGUUGCGAACGGGUGAGUAACGCGUAGGUAACCUGCCUCAUAGCGGGGGAUAACUAUUGGAAACGAUAGCUAAUACCGCAUAACAGUAUUUACCGCAUGGUAGAUAUUUGAAAGGAGCAAUUGCUUCACUAUGAGAUGGACCUGCGUUGUAUUAGCUAGUUGGUGAGGUAACGGCUCACCAAGGCUUCGAUACAUAGCCGACCUGAGAGGGUGAUCGGCCACACUGGGACUGAGACACGGCCCAGACUCCUACGGGAGGCAGCAGUAGGGAAUCUUCGGCAAUGGGGGCAACCCUGACCGAGCAACGCCGCGUGAGUGAAGAAGGUUUUCGGAUCGUAAAGCUCUGUUGUAAGAGAAGAACUGUGAGAAGAGUGGAAAGUUUCUCACUUGACGGUAUCUUACCAGAAAGGGACGGCUAACUACGUGCCAGCAGCCGCGGUAAUACGUAGGUCCCGAGCGUUGUCCGGAUUUAUUGGGCGUAAAGCGAGCGCAGGCGGUUUGAUAAGUCUGAAGUAAAAGGCUGUGGCUUAACCAUAGUACGCUUUGGAAACUGUCAAACUUGAGUGCAGAAGGGGAGAGUGGAAUUCCAUGUGUAGCGGUGAAAUGCGUAGAUAUAUGGAGGAACACCGGUGGCGAAAGCGGCUCUCUGGUCUGUAACUGACGCUGAGGCUCGAAAGCGUGGGGAGCGAACAGGAUUAGAUACCCUGGUAGUCCACGCCGUAAACGAUGAGUGCUAGGUGUUGGGUCCUUUCCGGGACUCAGUGCCGCAGCUAACGCAUUAAGCA